Molecule: ribosomal RNA, 568 nt
Filed under: Alternaria sp. CBG_I1CCH
Lineage: Eukaryota; Fungi; Ascomycota; Dothideomycetes; Pleosporales; Pleosporaceae
Description: eukaryotic LSU rRNA
Rfam family: Eukaryotic large subunit ribosomal RNA
Source: RNAcentral
AGAAACCAUCAGGGAUUGCCCUAGUAACGGCGAGUGAAGCGGCAACAGCUCAAAUUUGAAAUCUGGCUCUUUUAGAGUCCAGAUUGUAAUUUGCAGAGGGCGCUUUGGCUUUGGCAGCGGUCCAAGUUCCUUGGAACAGGACGUCACAGAGGGUGAGAAUCCCGUACGUGGUCGCUGGCUAUUGCCGUGUAAAGCCCCUUCCACGAGACGAGUUGUUUGGGAAUGCAGCUCUAAAUGGGAGGUACAUUUCUUCUAAAGCUAAAUAUUGGCCAGAGACCGAUAGCGCACAAGUAGAGUGAUCGAAAGAUGAAAAGCACUUUGGAAAGAGAGUCAAACAGCACGUGAAAUUGUUGAAAGGGAAGCGCUUGCAGCCAGACUUGCUUACAGUUGCUCAUCCGGGUUUUUACCCGGUGCACUCUUUUGUAGGCAGGCCAGCAUCGGUUUGGGCGGUAGGAUAAAGGUCUCUGUCACGUACCUCUUUUCGGGGAGGCCUUAUAGGGGAGACGACAUACUACCAGCCUGGACUGAGGUCCGCGCAUCUGCUAGGAUGCUGGCGUAAUGGCUGUAA